Lingula anatina is the source of this 1224-nucleotide long non-coding RNA. Lineage: Eukaryota; Metazoa; Brachiopoda; Lingulata; Lingulida; Lingulidae. The record is from RefSeq and is a predicted model, not a curated record.
CACGUCAGUGACUUAAAUUACGGGAAUCGGCUUCAAUUGCUGGAAUCGGUAGGUGUGUAUUUUGUCUCUUUCUGUUCAAAUACAUUGCGCCUGCGUCAAUAGACUCUCUGUUGUCUAAUAAUUCCGGACAAAUGGACAGUGACCUCAAACCUUAGCCUUAAUUUUGCUGAAGCCGCGAUUAAGUUCGUCAUUGAUCUCGGAGAAGCCAUCGAUUGGAAAAUAGGUCCAACACGCCUGCUGUUUGAACGCACAAACACCCAUUUAUAAAACGGACAAGUUUGCAGUAGUGAAGUACAUUCAGUAGUGACGAACAAUACCAAGAAGAGCGCUUAGAUUGCAAGAGGUUCGGAGUUGCGCAAAAACAAUUAAGGAGAUGAUUAAGAAUCUGAAAAUGAAUGCAACCGUAUCAAGGCUUUUUUGCGCUGUCUUUGUGUCCUGUGUUCUCAUACCAUCAUUAGCCUAUAGUUCGCAGCAUGCCUCAUCAUCAGAUGGAAGUAGACACCGUUUUAAAAGAGCGCUCCCGUUAGGUUUUCUUUUACGAAACCAAAACCAGCCGCCUGCUUUGUCAAGACCACUAAAACCCAGCAUUGGCAGCGUGCUCCGACCAGCUGUUUCCCCGGGAGAAACUUCAUCUUCACAGCUACAGGAUUUACGUGAAUUUUUAACAUUUUUAAGAUAUAAAGAGGAUGGAUCGUUUAUGGCCUGCUUGAUGGAGAAACAACUGGAAAAGGAGUUACAUGAGAUGUUAGAAUCUGGCCAGUGAGGAUGACAUUCUUUAUCUACGUUGUUUUAACUGAAUUUUUUCCGAUCUGUCAUAAGAGAAAUGCCUCUUGUUACCACUUUAUGUUUCACAUUUGACGUUUACACUUUAUUCUCGUCUAUUGCGAUGUUUUGGACAGCUGGCACGUUAUACUGGGAUAUGCUAGGGAGUUAUAUUUGAUAUUUUGAUCCAAUUUACUAAUCCAGUCCACGAUAAGUUUUUGCUAAUAAUCACAUUGUAAUCAGACGAAAUACUAGAACGAGUCCUUCCAGGAUAAUUGAUACGGACACACCUUUCUCUGUCAUUUCUGACGCAAUUUUAGUUCGGUAUCUGUAAGGAUCAUGAUAUUAGGCCUAUAAUUUGGUAUCAUAAGGAUACAAAAUUCAUAUACGGUGUGUUUGUGUUUUGCUCCCUUUUGGUGUAAGUCCGAGGUGAUUAAAUUUCAAUACAUUUUAUAAUCAAUA